GUGUUCAUUUUGGCAGCGCAUAUACUUAAAAAAUGGGAAUGAUACAGAGAAGAUUAGCAUGGUCCUUGUGCAAGGUUGACACACAAAUUUGUGAAGUGUUCCAUAUUUUU
This is a small nuclear RNA of Leptonychotes weddellii (Weddell seal), 110 nucleotides long. The record is from RefSeq and is a predicted model, not a curated record. NCBI's taxonomy places the organism in Eukaryota, Metazoa, Chordata, Mammalia, Carnivora, Phocidae.